Molecule: ribosomal RNA, 782 nt
Filed under: uncultured Neocallimastigales
Lineage: Eukaryota; Fungi; Neocallimastigomycota; Neocallimastigomycetes; Neocallimastigales
Description: partial large subunit ribosomal RNA
Rfam family: Eukaryotic large subunit ribosomal RNA
Source: RNAcentral
AUAGAGACUCAGAGCUGCAUAUCAAUAAGCGGAGGAAAAGAAACUAACUAGGAUUCCCUUAGUAACGGCGAGUGAAGCGGGAAGAGCUCAAAUUUGAAAUCUUCAAGGUUCUCCCUUGACGAAUUGUAGUUUAAAGAAGUGUUUUCUGUUAGAGAGUUUGGUAAAAGUUCUUUGGAAUAGGACAUCAUAGAGGGUGAGAAUCCCGUAUUUGACCAUUAUUUUCCAGCUGUGUGAUACACUUUCAAAGAGUCGGAUUGUUUGGGAAUGCAGUCCAAAAUGGGUGGUAAAUUUCAUCUAAAGCUAAAUAUUGGCGAGAGACCGAUAGCGAACAAGUACCGUGAGGGAAAGAUGAAAGGAACUUUGAAAAGGAGAGUUAAACAGUACGUGAAAUUGUCAAAAGGGAAGCGUUUGACACCAGUGUUGUUUUUCCGAAAAUCAAUUACGAAUGUUCUGAUUUUAAGGAUUUCAUGACCUUCAUCGCUUGCUUCUUAUCUUUACGAUACUUUCGUAAUGCACUUUUCGGUUAACAAGUCAACAUCAAUUUCUUUUGUUGUAAAAGGGUAAUGAGGAAGGUGGCUUUACUUUCGGAGUAAAGUGUUUAUAGCCUUUUACCUCUGCAAUCGGAGAGAUUGAGGUCUGCAGCGUAGAUCCUUCGGGGUUAGAUACGUUUGUGCUAAGUUAUAGCUUUUCAUAGACAACUUGUUGACUAUGUUUAGUCUUGUAGCUUACUCGCAUGACGCUAUUUUACCUACGCUUAGGAUGUUGAUAGUCACAGCGUGUAC